UCAAAGAUUUUUUUUUUUUUUUGGCCAAGAAAAUCAUUUCAUUUUUAGUUUUAAUUUCUCCCUGUAUCAGUCUCUCUCUCGAGCUUAAACUUGUGAUUGCUCCAUUAAGAUCCACACACACAUUGAAACAUUUUUUUUUUUUUUUUUGCGUAUAUACCACAUACAUUGUCAUCGAUGACAACGAUUUUGUUCUGUUCUGUUUUUUUUUGUUUCUUCAUUUUCUUCCCAUUCCUUUUUGUUGUUGUUUAUUGAAAUAUAAUAAUAAUACUACUUUUGUUCCUUGAUCCGCAUCUAUCCAUUUUAUCCAACAUACAAUUGAUCACAUUCAAUAAAACCAAGUGAUCAUCAUCAUCAUCAUCAUCAUUGUAAUUUUCAAAUGAAACUUGUUGUACAUAUUGUUGUUUCCGAUACAAAAAAAAAAAGAAAAAUGAGCAACACAGAAGAAAUUAUUAAUUUAUCAUUAUCAUCACCGGCGCCGUCGCCGUCGUCGUCGUCUGAACAGCAUCCUGUUGUCGAAAUAGAAUCGAAUCAUUCAAAUAUGGUAAUAAUACAAUCGAAUAAUAAUAAUAAUGAUGAUAAUGAUGAAAAAUUGCUUAAUAAUGACGAAAUAAAGGAUAAUUCUGAUGACCAAUCAUCAUCGUCAUCGUCAUCCACAUCCACCACAUCCACAUCCUCAUCAUCAUCAUCAUCAUCAUCAU
Molecule: non-coding RNA, 698 nt
Organism: Dermatophagoides farinae (American house dust mite)
Lineage: Eukaryota; Metazoa; Arthropoda; Arachnida; Sarcoptiformes; Pyroglyphidae
Source: RefSeq, a predicted model, not a curated record